UUUCCAGAGAUGGACUGGUGCCUUCGGGAACUGUGAGACAGGUGCUGCAUGGCUGUCGUCAGCUCGUGUUGUGAAAUGUUGGGUUAAGUCCCGCAACGAGCGCAACCCUUAUCCUUUGUUGCCAGCGAUUAGGUCGGGAACUCAAAGGAGACUGCCAGUGAUAAACUGGAGGAAGGUGGGGAUGACGUCAAGUCAUCAUGGCCCUUACGACCAGGGCUACACACGUGCUACAAUGGCGCAUACAAAGAGAAGCGACCUCGCGAGAGCAAGCGGACCUCAUAAAGUGCGUCGUAGUCCGGAUUGGAGUCUGCAACUCGACUCCAUGAAGUCGGAAUCGCUAGUAAUCGUGGAUCAGAAUGCCACGGUGAAUACGUUCCCGGGCCUUGUACACACCGCCCGUCACACCAUGGGAGUGGGUUGCAAAAGAAGUAGGUAGCUUAACCUUCGGGAGGGCGCUUACCACUUUGUGAUUCAUGACUGGGGUGAAGUCGUAACAAGGUAACCGUAGGGGAACCUGC
RNAcentral lists this ribosomal RNA (518 nucleotides) under Salmonella enterica subsp. enterica serovar Derby. RNAcentral describes it as "partial 16S ribosomal RNA". It matches the Rfam family "Bacterial small subunit ribosomal RNA", at positions 997 to 1515 of the family's 1533-position model. Lineage: Bacteria; Pseudomonadati; Pseudomonadota; Gammaproteobacteria; Enterobacterales; Enterobacteriaceae. The record is from RNAcentral. RNAcentral also lists the same sequence under 2 other names.